Molecule: long non-coding RNA, 369 nt
Filed under: Gossypium barbadense (sea-island cotton)
Lineage: Eukaryota; Viridiplantae; Streptophyta; Magnoliopsida; Malvales; Malvaceae
Description: long non-coding RNA (GBAR_LNC012322)
Source: RNAcentral
CCAUACAGAACACUUCCUCCACAUAUAUAAAUCCCACUCCAAUCAGAUAUACAUAAUCAAAAUUACCAUGCUUACAUGCUCAUAUUCAAAUAUCAAAAAUAUAUAUAUCAGCCUAAUUAGACAUGCAUAACAGUGUCUUACUCAGAGCAGAACGUCAGACCACCAGAUCACAUAGUUUUAGGGUUUGGUUAGCCUUUACUGACCAUACAAUAGGCCCAAAGUCAAUCGGAACGACCCGUGCAACCCUAGGAAAAAUUUUAAAAUUAUGGGCCCACAUGCCCGUACGAGCUCACACGCUCGUGUGGCCCACAUGACCUGGCCCAAUACUCCCUAGCCCGUGUGGCCCACACGACCACACCCACAUUAUCA